UUGAACGCUGGCGGAAUGCUUUACCCCUGCAAGUCGAACGGCAGCACGGGGGCAGCCCUGGUGGCGAGUGGCGAACGGGUGAGUAAUACAUCGGAACGUGCCCGGUCGUGGGGGAUAACGUAGCGAAAGUUACGCUAAUACCGCAUACGAUCUGAGGAUGAAAGCGGGGGACCUUCGGGCCUCGCGCGAUCGGAGCGGCCGAUGUCAGAUUAGGUAGUUGGUGGGGUAAAGGCCUACCAAGCCGACGAUCUGUAGCUGGUCUGAGAGGACGACCAGCCACACUGGGACUGAGACACGGCCCAGACUCCUACGGGAGGCAGCAGUGGGGAAUUUUGGACAAUGGGCGCAAGCCUGAUCCAGCCAUUCCGCGUGCAGGACGAAGGCCUUCGGGUUGUAAACUGCUUUUGUACGGAACGAAAAGGCUCUGGCUAAUACCUGGGGCUCAUGACGGUACCGUAAGAAUAAGCACCGGCUAACUACGUG
RNAcentral lists this ribosomal RNA (483 nucleotides) under uncultured bacterium. Its description in RNAcentral is "partial 16S ribosomal RNA". It matches the Rfam family "Bacterial small subunit ribosomal RNA", at positions 30 to 507 of the family's 1533-position model. The record is from RNAcentral.